This 347-nucleotide ribosomal RNA is filed under the name uncultured Aquabacterium sp. Its description in RNAcentral is "bacterial SSU rRNA". It matches the Rfam family "Bacterial small subunit ribosomal RNA", at positions 8 to 359 of the family's 1533-position model. Lineage: Bacteria; Pseudomonadati; Pseudomonadota; Betaproteobacteria; Burkholderiales; Sphaerotilaceae. The record is from RNAcentral.
AGAGUUUGAUCCUGGCUCAGAUUGAACGCUGGCGGCAUGCCUUACACAUGCAAGUCGAACGGUAACGGGCCUUCGGGUGCCGACGAGUGGCGAACGGGUGAGUAAUAUAUCGGAACGUGCCCAAUAGUGGGGGAUAGCCCGGCGAAAGCCGGAUUAAUACCGCAUGCGACCUGAGGGUGAAAGCGGGGGAUCGCAAGACCUCGCGCUAUUGGAGCGGCCGAUAUCAGAUUAGCUAGUUGGUGGGGUAAAGGCCUACCAAGGCGACGAUCUGUAGCUGGUCUGAGAGGACGACCAGCCACACUGGGACUGAGACACGGCCCAGACUCCUACGGGAGGCAGCAGAAGGG